Molecule: ribosomal RNA, 229 nt
Filed under: Escherichia coli
Lineage: Bacteria; Pseudomonadati; Pseudomonadota; Gammaproteobacteria; Enterobacterales; Enterobacteriaceae
Description: partial 23S ribosomal RNA
Rfam family: Bacterial large subunit ribosomal RNA
Source: RNAcentral
GGUUGUCAUGCCAAUGGCACUGCCCGGUAGCUAAAUGCGGAAGAGAUAAGUGCUGAAAGCAUCUAAGCACGAAACUUGCCCCGAGAUGAGUUCUCCCUGACCCUUUAAGGGUCCUGAAGGAACGUUGAAGACGACGACGUUGAUAGGCCGGGUGUGUAAGCGCAGCGAUGCGUUGAGCUAACCGGUACUAAUGAACCGUGAGGCUUAACCUUACAACGCCAAAGCUGUU